GAUGAACGCUGACAGAAUGCUUAACACAUGCAAGUCUUUGGCGAAGCUGUGCUUGCACAGCCUAGCCAAGGCGGACGGGUGAGUAACGCGUAAGGAACUUGCCCUGCAGUCAGGGAUAACAGACGGAAACGACUGAUAAGACCUGGUAAAGUCAGGCGGACUCAUGUCCAGCCUGAUGAAAAGAGAUGCUGCAGGAGAGCCUUGCGUCCUAUUAGCUUGUUGGUGGGGUAACGGCCCACCAAGGCGAUGAUAGGUAGCCGGCCUGAGAGGGUGGACGGCCACAAGGGGACUGAGAUACGGCCCUUACUCCUACGGGAGGCAGCAGUGGGGAAUAUUGGACAAUGGGGGCAACCCUGAUCCAGCAAUUCUGUGUGCACGAUGAAGGUUUUCGGAUUGUAAAGUGCUUUCAGCAGGGAAGAAAAAAUGACGGUACCUGCAGAAGAGGCGACGGCUAAAUACGUG
This 462-nucleotide ribosomal RNA is filed under the name uncultured bacterium. Its description in RNAcentral is "partial 16S ribosomal RNA". It matches the Rfam family "Bacterial small subunit ribosomal RNA", at positions 28 to 507 of the family's 1533-position model. The record is from RNAcentral.